This 68-nucleotide transfer RNA is filed under the name Trichosia lengersdorfi. RNAcentral describes it as "tRNA-Ser". Lineage: Eukaryota; Metazoa; Arthropoda; Insecta; Diptera; Sciaridae. The record is from RNAcentral.
GAAAUAUGAAAUUCUCAAAUAAAAGCUGCUAACUUUUUAUUUUAAUAAAUAAAUUUAUUAAUAUUUCU